GAGCACCGGAGCCCAUGCGUUCUGGUUCCCUUCAAAUAUCUGUACAAAAAGAGACGAAGACAUGAAGUUAAACUCACAAUAUAGCCUAUCAUGUUCUGCCUCUAGGCCCUAGGGGGUUCUCAAUCAAAAACAAUAACAAAAGACAGCAUCGGAAUUUACUUGCUUUCAAUUUCUCCAGAUUAUAAUGACUACACUGUUCAUUCGUCACAUAUGGUGAGCUGAAUUAUCCACAGAAGUCCCCCUUUAAAACAAACAGACCAUGGACGACUCCGGUGAACAGCGUGAGGUAGAUGGCGUCCACCUCCAGCCACUGGUUCUGGUCCUUAUACUCCGCACACCAGGCUCCAUCGUACAGGUCUCCGUCCGCUAUGCCAGACUGAAAACACACGACCCACCUGGAUGUUCAGCCUCCCCCUGUGAGGACCCAGACCCGACCUCUGGGAGGAAGAAGCCCGGAUCUGGCUAUCAUCGACACGCAGAGACUCCAGGCCAAGAGGAGGACACUCUGCAAAGAAAAGGAGAUACAGUCUUGUGGAGUUGCAGAUCUUUAAGAAGCUUCUGAAGGGUUAAAAACUCUCCUCUGGUUUCUCUGAGUAAGCAAACACACUGCAGAUGUAAUUAGUGGAUGUUAUGAGAAAUAUGUAUAAGUCAUCCUGGGUUUUUGGGAGUUUUUGGAGGCCCCUUCUGCAAAGGAAACUGCAGAUAAGUGAAUCCCGUGGAGGGUUUGAAUGUAAUUUGAGACAAAGUCGGGGCAGGAAAGCUAAAAGUCCAGCAGAGCUACAGCUGCAGCACAUUUCAUGGCUCAAGGAGCCUCAUAGAUCCCAAACACCACAGUAUUGGCAGAAGGGAAGAGCUAUGCGAGUUCUCUUUAGGUCAAGGGACGGUUUGGUGGAGCAUCAUUAAAGUUAAAGGAGCAGUAUACAGAUGUCUAGUUUAGGAAGUUUACAUGACAAAUCAAUUCAUAUGUGUUGGGCUUUUAUCAAAGACUUGCAGUCAUUUAUUACAAAAGCUUCUGUUUCUCAGAAGUGAAUAUUUACUGCAUUCUUCCGUGAUGGUAAACUGAACCUAUUGUGGGUUUUGAUUCGGAAAAAACAAGCAAUUUGUAAAGGGCACAUUUUUGCUCCGUAAAAUUGGUAAAGGAUCUAAAUAUGAUUGAUGAGCAACAAUAAAAAGUAUGUAAACAAAGUUUUUAAACAAACCUGGGUUACUCUGGAGCAUUACAGUAACAAAAUGAUAUAAAGCAAUGUUUAUUCUCAAAAUGCAAAAGUCGAGUAAAGGAAAGCCAGAAAUUCAGGGGGUCCCUGAAGGCAUCAUUAAUUAAUUGGCUUCUAACAACUCUACACAAAAAUUAAAACAAAAAAUAUACUUGUUCAUACCCAGUUGUGUUUUCUUGUCGUCUGUCUUGCUCGCAUGUUUCUU
Long non-coding RNA from Gymnodraco acuticeps, 1419 nucleotides. RefSeq lists it as uncharacterized. The transcript is spliced from 3 exons. NCBI's taxonomy places the organism in Eukaryota, Metazoa, Chordata, Actinopteri, Perciformes, Bathydraconidae. The record is from RefSeq and is a predicted model, not a curated record.